CGGAGGGUGCGAGCGUUGUCCGGAAUCACUGGGCGUAAAGGGCGCGUAGGCGGUGGGGUAAGCGUGCGGUGAAAGCUCGGGGCUCAACCCCGAGUCGGCCGUGCGAACUGCUCGACUGGAGCCUGUCAGAGGCGGGUGGAAUUCCGGGUGUAGCGGUGGAAUGCGUAGAGAUCCGGAAGAACACCGGUGGCGAAGGCGGCCCGCUGGGACAGAGCUGACGCUGAGGCGCGACAGCGUGGGGAGCAAACAGGAUUAGAUACCCUGGUAGUCCACGCCGUAAACGAUGGGUACUAGGUGCUUGGGGGAGCGACCCCCUGGGUGCCGGCGCUAACGCAUUAAGUACCCCGCCUGGGGAGUACGACCGCAAGGUUG
This 372-nucleotide ribosomal RNA is filed under the name uncultured organism. RNAcentral's name for it is "bacterial SSU rRNA". It matches the Rfam family "Bacterial small subunit ribosomal RNA", at positions 526 to 896 of the family's 1533-position model. The record is from RNAcentral.